CCAGCCCCGCACUCCCCUGCCCGCCAGCGCCCCGCCGUCGGCGCUCAGCCGGGCGGGACGCUGGGGAUUUGUGACGUGCGGCCGUUUGUUCCCCAGCCGCUCGGCGCGGUGGCCGCUGGCGCUGCCGUGAGGGUGCAUAGUCAACCUGUGGAAUCUUUGCCAGAAGAUGUUGUGAAGGCCAAGACUAUAACAGGGCUGGAGGCUGCAUGCUGUUUGAUCUUCAUUCUCCCAGGGAUGGGAGGGUCUGGGAGACCCAGCCAGCUGUCGCAAAAGCACAAGUAGCAUGCAAUGGGUGCUGUUGCGGAGGCGUAGAGGACUUCUGGGGGUACAUUUGCCCUGUCCAACAAGCAUUGAGUCCCGGUUGCAUGGGCCACCCAACUAUGGCAUUGUCCUGUGCGUUCCUGGGUUGUAGGACAUGGUACUGUGGAGUGGUCUCAGGACAUGGUGUGAGUGGAGCAGGAGCUUGCACUCUUGCAGCCAUUAGCACAAGCAGCUGCUCAAACAGGCUUUUCUGCUGUAUUCAAUCUUCCUCCCUCAAGCAACAUUCCUGCUCCAGAAGCUGCGCUGACAGUCUAUCAGUGUGCUCUACAGGCUGUCUGUGCCUUUCCACUCCUAUGAAUCCUUUUCCCUUUAGUAUUGUGUCUGCUUGUUGACUCCAUUCAGGAUGUCCACUAUGAGUUAAUUACAGAAAUGCUUCCUCUUUGACCAUUCCUUGACCGUUCAAAAUCCGAGGCUCCUGCUGGACCGUGGCUGGGCGGCAGAGGUGGAAGUGCCUGAAAGCAGACAUCAAACAGUACAUUGUCUCAAAAAGAAAAGGAGUACUUGUGGCACCUUAGAGACUAACCAAUUUAUUUGAGCAUGAGCUUUCGUGAGCUACAGCUCACUUCAUCGGUGCCACAAGUACUCCUUUUCUUUUUGCGAAUACAGACUAACACGGCUGUUAUUCUGAAACCUACAUUGUCUCAGUACUUCAAAAAAAAGUUCAGUGCAUCCUCAGAAAAAAGUGCCUGUGGAAUCUCAAGGCCAAAAAAAUGAUACUUCGUAAAACUCAGCUUCACUAUGUUCUCAGAUGAAUACUUCUGUUCCUAGAAGCUCCAUGGCCAUAAUUGAGUUAAGCAGAGUGAAAAGAGUGCACACAUAAUGGUAAGAUGACAUUUACAAAUGCUAUAUGUUUAAAAAUUGCAGACUGUUGUUGCCAGGGGCAGUGGGGCUAUGCCAUGGUUUACUACCUAAAGUUUCUCAGUCCUUUCAGGCAUUCCACAGUCUGGGGGACAUGACAAUCCUGGAGUUUCCUGAAUGCCAAAGAGAUUUUAUGCCAUGCUACCGGUGGCAAGCCAGCUGUCUAUGCUACAGAGGUUUCAAGCUUAUGGUGACUGAGCAGCACAUCUAUGAGUGGAGUGGACCACAGUCCUGAUUAGGAGAGCCCAGAAAAUAUACCCUUUCCUGAAAUGAGACUACCCAUUGGGAAUUCCUACUCUGCGAAAAGUUUGCAGCUAUCAGCACCCAGGAUUGGGUCAAAAUUAAAGGGGAAAUCAACAGGAUGCUGUGUUAGCAUCCACACGGUUUACUAUCUCCCUAUAGCUUACAACGCAGCCUGCUCUGACUAAAUAUACUAUGGACUACAUGCAAACACACCUGACAAUAUGGACUCUCAAAGAACUACAUGGACAGUCACCCCCCUUCGCCCAAUAUAUUUGUAUACUGCACACAAUUUCCCCCCCCCACACACACACCCUGGGGUAUUUCAGACAUUGAUUUACUCACCCACUCACUACAUUUUCCCCAACCUUCAUGUACAGUUUACUGUUUACAGGUAGCUUGUUAUGCUAUGGCAUACUAAAGGGGAAGGCAGUAUUCUUUCUUUUAACACCCCAGCACAUCUUUAAGCAUUUGCGAGUAUCUAACAAAACUUUAAAGUUAAAUGCUUGUUUAACAGUUGUUUGUUUCUUGGUCUCCAUUUUGAAUGCCAUGUGGUGGUGGUGUGGAAAGUGAUGCCAAGAUGCUGGGGUACAUUCCACCAUUAGUAGAUACACAUGACUACCUAUGUCCUGUAAUAAAAAAUGCAAUGGGUCAUAAACUGGAAAUCCCUCCCAUUUGACUAUUAUCAUUAACAAUAAACAAGGAGCCAAACACUUACCAGCCUUCGGGGCUUUUUCUGCCUUUUCUGUUUCUGCUGCUGGUUUUGCAGCAGGCUGUUCUUCCAAGGGGGUCAUCAAACAGCUCCUCCGAGUAUGGGCCCAGGACAUGCUGCAUCUGCUCCAGUGGCACAGCUUCCUCGGGGAUUGGUUGGAACCCCAGAGUCACUUUGCUAGCUUGAUCUAUGAGGCACCUGUUGGCUCCUCUCUGGUCUGGUACUAGAUUUGGAGGUCAGAAGGUCACGACUCUGGCUGACCAGGCUAUCAUAAACCACUGGGGGCUCAGUGCUUGAUGCAGUUCCCAGCACCCAGGCAAAGUCCUCAAAAGAGACAAGAUGACAGGGAGUUCCCAGAGGUGUUCUCACCCCUGGCUUUCUGGUAGUCUCUCCUGAGCUGCUUACUCUACUCCCAGACUGGUGACCAGUGCUGUUGAAUUCCCAGUGCAGCCAGGUUGUCUGCUAUUUCUUGGUAUGCAUGGUCAUUUCUGGUCACUUCUCUUACUGAAGUUGAAUUUUUUGCUUGCCUCGUACCAGUAAUUUACUGGAACCUGACUGUGGUCUCAUGACCAGGCAGUGCACUUGGUAGCAGCAAAGAUGCUUCGUUCUGCUUGCAGCUCAGUGGUCUGUAAGGAGAGUUUGAGAGUUGCAGGCUCUGAUGCCAGAACCUCCUUAUUCACAAAUCUCCAAGAACAAAAGUGACUUUAUGACCAUUCCCCAAAUUUGUGUCUAAAGUGGUUGCUUGGCUUCAUUUGAAUACUGCGGAUGUGCAAAGCAUUGACUAAGUGAUUGCCAUAUUGGAUUUACCAUGGAUUUCACUCUAGGUAUGGUAAACCCUUCAUAGAUUCAGAGAUACUAAGGUCAGAAGGGACCAUUAUGAUCAUCUAGUCUGACCUCCUGCACAACGCAGGCCACAGAAUUUCACCCACCCACUCCUGCGAAAA
Molecule: long non-coding RNA, 3075 nt
Organism: Chelonia mydas (Green sea turtle)
Lineage: Eukaryota; Metazoa; Chordata; Testudines; Cheloniidae
Exons: 3
Source: RefSeq, a predicted model, not a curated record